Molecule: long non-coding RNA, 1374 nt
Organism: Cyprinus carpio (common carp)
Lineage: Eukaryota; Metazoa; Chordata; Actinopteri; Cypriniformes; Cyprinidae
Source: RefSeq, a predicted model, not a curated record
CCACCCAUCUCAUGUUAACUAAAGCACAAGUCUGUAUGGUUUAGCCUUGUGUGCCGAAGGUUUGGAAGAUCAGACUCUGUCUCCAUCCAGUGGAGGUUUCAUGUAACUCUUAUGCAUGAAUAUUAGGAUGUCUUAGUACAUAGUCCGUCCCCAAUGACAGCAGCAUUAUUUGAGAAUGAUCCAAAGUUCAUAUUUUGCUUUAAAACAUCAGACUGUCUGCACAAAUGAGUUUUACAUAGUGCCAUGGAUUUGGAUUAGUGAACUAAUAAAAGUAUCAGAAACUGGGAAUUUACAAGAAUUACAAGUGUCUGAUCCAUUCAUCCGAUGUCGUUGAGAUCUGGAAAAGGCGGGUGAUCAUCCUAAACAGCAGCACCCCCAGCGACCAUGCCGUCGCCUGUUUCGCACAGUUCUCGCCCUUCUCAAAGUAUUCAGGGGGACAGUACCUUGCUGUCCCUGAAGGAAAGAGUUUGCCACAUGUCACAUGGAGGGACUACUUGUUUUUAGAUAACACAUUCUACUGUAAGUGAUGUUGGACGAGCUUCUCAAGAGGUCUCCACAGCCGAAAUCGAUCAAUUUGACCUCCGGGGUCUCCGUGCUGGAUGGGGCCUCAUCAUUGACCUGCUCCACCUGAGCCUUGGUGGACUCGGAGCGAGAGAAACAUGUGAAUAAAGAGGAAAACCACCUGCGAAACCUCCUCUUUUUCUGCCUCUUCUUCUGUUUUCUCUGCCCCUCUCUCUCCCUCACCCACAGGCGUCUCGUCAGGACCCCGUUCACACACUCACCUCCUCUCUCCGAAGUGCAUUUUGAUCAUCGGUUGUGAAUUAUUUGUCUAGUGUUUUGAAAAAUGUCAAGAAGGUUCUUAUAUCAAAGCAAAAAUGAUUGUAAAAGAAAUUGUAAAUCUUGGUUUGAUGAUCAUCUGUCUAAUGCAGUGACAUACAUUUUCAGAGAAGCUGAACGGUCCAUAUACUUUUUACAACACGUAAAAUACACAAAAGUUUCUUCUCGUCUGAAUGUCUUCCAGUAUGUACAGAAUUCACUGAAAUGCUAUUGCAAAACAUAAUAUUGUAGAAUUUUAGUUUGAAGGACAGAACUUAUAUAAAUCAUGUUCCAGUUUUUGAAACCAACAGAAAACAAUCAGAUUUAUUUAAUUAGUAAUUUAUUUUUUAUAUAUUUGUUUAUUUAUUUUUUGCUUAAAACUUUUCUCACGGUCUGUUAGAUGAUUCAUCUGAAGUGGCUGGUGGGAAGCCAGGUUUUUUUCUUUCUUUCUUUCUUUCUUUCUUUCUUUUUUUUUCUCUCACAGCCACAUGAUGGUGCAAGACAUUGCUAACAUUAUAAAAAUUAUGUGCAUCCUCCCACCAGGCUAAAUCUCAGAAA